RNAcentral lists this ribosomal RNA (513 nucleotides) under uncultured bacterium. RNAcentral describes it as "partial 16S ribosomal RNA". It matches the Rfam family "Bacterial small subunit ribosomal RNA", at positions 28 to 523 of the family's 1533-position model. The record is from RNAcentral.
GAUGAACGCUGGCGGCGUGCCUAAUACAUGCAAGUCGAGCGAACAGACGAGGAGCUUGCUCCUCUAACGUUAGCGGCGGACGGGUGAGUAACACGUGGAUAACCUACCUAUAAGACUGGGAUAACUUCGGGAAACCGGAGCUAGUACCGGAUAUUAUAUUGAACAGCAUGGUUCAAUAGUGAAAGACGGUUUUGCUGUCACUUAUAGAUGGAUCCGCGCCGCAUUAGCUAGUUGGUAAGGUAACAGCUUACCAAGGCAACGAUGCGUAGCCGACCUGAGAGGGUGAUCGGCCACACUGGAACUGAGACACGGUCCAGACUCCUACGGGAGGCAGCAGUAGGGAAUCUUCCGCAAUGGGCGAAAGCCUGACGGAGCAACGCCGCGUGAGUGAUGAAGGUCUUCGGAUCGUAAAACUCUGUUAUUAGGGAAGAACAAAUGUGUAAGUAACUAUGCACGUCUUGACGGUACCUAAUCAGAAAGCCACGGCUAACUACGUGCCAGCCGCCGCCGUAA